Molecule: long non-coding RNA, 369 nt
Organism: Vidua macroura (Pin-tailed whydah)
Lineage: Eukaryota; Metazoa; Chordata; Aves; Passeriformes; Viduidae
Exons: 3
Source: RefSeq, a predicted model, not a curated record
CAAUUAUGCAGUUGUCCAACACCAGCUUUGCAGAUGAACAGAAAAGUGAAUUAAGGUGAUACAGACAAUGUUCAACAGAAAUAAUGUGUUUAGACCAGAAGAAAAUCAUCAUCAAAUACAACAAUCAGUUAACAGAAGUGAUGACUUGCUACAGUAGGGCAAAAUCUGAAGAGGAAACUCACUAUAGAGAUGUCCAUACAUUCUGUCAAAUACUACGUGAUGAUCCAUUCACCAUUCAGAAGUAAAAGGUUCAACUCAAUAACAGUACUUAGAUCUCUCCCUUUUCAUCUCUUUCUGAGAACUGAGGAUCUUUGACCUGAAGUCAGGACUGACAGUGCAAGGCAGGAUGCCUGUGAACCACCAGUCCUA